RNAcentral lists this ribosomal RNA (253 nucleotides) under uncultured bacterium. Its description in RNAcentral is "partial 16S ribosomal RNA". It matches the Rfam family "Bacterial small subunit ribosomal RNA", at positions 524 to 776 of the family's 1533-position model. The record is from RNAcentral.
GACGAACCGUGCGAACGUUGUUCGGAAUCACUGGGCUUAAAGGGCGCGUAGGCGGUCAAUCAAGUCGGGGGUGAAAUCUUGCAGCUUAACUGUAAAAGUGCCUUCGAUACUGACUGACUUGAGGGAGGUAGGGGCAGGUGGAACUUCCAGUGGAGCGGUGAAAUGUGUUGAUAUUGGAAGGAACGCCGGUGGCGAAAGCGACCUGCUGGAUCUCUACUGACGCUGAGACGCGAAAGCUAGGGGAGCAAACGGG